Molecule: transfer RNA, 89 nt
Filed under: Burkholderia lata
Lineage: Bacteria; Pseudomonadati; Pseudomonadota; Betaproteobacteria; Burkholderiales; Burkholderiaceae
Description: tRNA-Trp
Source: RNAcentral
CGCGCACGUAGUGCGCGCGGUCCGCGUCGUGGAUGCCCCAGACUUCCGCCAGCAAUUGACGGGCGGCGAUCACGCCGCCGCGUGCGCGG